This 613-nucleotide ribosomal RNA is filed under the name uncultured archaeon. RNAcentral describes it as "bacterial SSU rRNA". It matches the Rfam family "Archaeal small subunit ribosomal RNA", at positions 52 to 670 of the family's 1478-position model. The record is from RNAcentral.
UGCGAGUCAAGGUGUCUUCGGACGCCGGCAUACGGCUCAGUAACACGUAGGUAACCUACCCUCAGGACUGAGAUAACCCCGGGAAACUGGGGCUAAUAUUAGAUAGAUAAAAGAUACUGGAAUGUUCUUUUAUCCAAAGCUUUUGCGCCUGAGGAUGGGCCUGCGUCCGAUUAGGUUGUUGGUGGGGUAAUGGCCCACCAAGCCUGCGAUCGGUACGGGCAGUGGGAGCUGAAGCCCGGAGUUGGGGACUGAGACAAGGCCCCAGGCCCUACGGGGCGCAGCAGGCGCGAAACCUCUGCAAUGCGGGAAACCGUGACAGGGGGAUCCCAAGUGCUCAUGCAUUGCAUGGGCUGUUCUUUGGUCUAAGUAACCAGAGGAGUAAGGGCUGGGCAAGACCGGUGCCAGCCGCCGCGGUAAUACCGGCAGCUCAAGUGGUAGCCGCGAUUAUUGGGCCUAAAACGUUCGUAGCCGGAUAAGUAAGUCUUUGGUUAAAUCCUGCGACUCAACCGUGGGAAUUCUAGAGAUACUGCUUGUCUUGAGACCGGGAGAGGUUGGAGGUACUCCUAGGGUAGGGGUGAAAUCCUGUAAUCCUAGGGGGACCACCUGUGGCGAA